RNAcentral lists this long non-coding RNA (533 nucleotides) under Cicer arietinum (chickpea). Its description in RNAcentral is "long non-coding RNA (CARI_LNC003684)". Lineage: Eukaryota; Viridiplantae; Streptophyta; Magnoliopsida; Fabales; Fabaceae. The record is from RNAcentral.
GAUUAAUAGUGAACUUAAUUUUAUAUUAAACUGCAUUAAUUGGUAAUUAACUUAAGAGCUUUUGUAAUAUUGCACACAAAGUUUUUACGUAUUGUAAAUUCAAAAGCUAAAAAUUCAAGUGCAUCUUUAUUUUCAAAAAUUGUAACGAUACAACAUAGCUCAUUAAAUAAAACAACAACAGUACUUCUCGUCAUAAUUUGGAAACCAACAUUGUCCCCCUUUUGUCAUUUUCCUUCCAAUAACGCAAUCAGUGGCACAAUUUGAACUACAAAGCUCUAUGAAGCAAGCAUUUGGUGGUCCUCUUCUCCCGUAAGGGCAGUUUAAGUUAUCCUCUACUGCUAGAGUCUCGAAGCUUGUAACUAAUCACGAACCAAACAAAAAAAAUAUAUUGGACAUUAGGUAUUUUAUUCAUGUUUUUCAAAAUUUCAACAAAAUGUUAUUGCGACUUCGUUAAAAAAGUUGUUGACUUAUAUCCGCUUAACAAUUUAAGCCCUUUUUUUCUUUUGACGAUGAAAAUACAUACACUAGUACAA